This 39291-nucleotide long non-coding RNA is filed under the name Triticum aestivum (bread wheat). RNAcentral describes it as "long non-coding RNA (TAES_LNC012795)". The record is from RNAcentral. Lineage: Eukaryota; Viridiplantae; Streptophyta; Magnoliopsida; Poales; Poaceae.
AGAGCAAUUGUAACAAAUCCUCGUCUUUACAAGACAUGCUAGUUGCCAUGACGACCUCCCCUCCUCCUCCUUUACCUGCUCCCUAAUUUUCCGGCCUAGACAAUGGUUAUAUCUUAUAUGUACAAGAUUGUCCACUGAAAAUAAUGCCUAUGUGCGGAAACCAGUUAUGCAAUGAGAGUAAUAUACUGCAGCAGUUGUUGCUGAGUAUUUUGGUUUGGCAAAUCGCAUUUGAACCUUUACUAGCAAUUGUUGGGAGAGCGAUGAAAUGACUCGCAAGCGCAGAUGCUCCGGAAAUCUGAGUGGUACAGCUUAGCUUGGGAUCUGUGUCAGUUAACUCUUUGUCACAUAUACGUUUUAGAAUACAGAGGUGAAUACAUCUGCAGAUGGGCUAUGCUGGACCGUAGUACUCAGUCCUCGCACGUCUCCUCUCUUCAAGUCCAUUGAUCUCCCAUGCAAAAUAAAAUAAAAUAAGUCCAUCGAUCUCUCGCUUAAAAAGAGUCCUAUGGCUGUCGUCGUUCACCACUCCUCGAUGUUGAAGCUGUCGUCAUUGCCGCCUCCUCUGCCACCAUCAUUGCCGCCACCGUCGUCCUCCUCGUCGCUUUGAGAGGACGAUGAUGUUCGCCCCGCCGUCCGCUCGCUCCUCGUAGAGCUUGUGCUCUGCCUCUACUAGCUCACAGUACUUUUGGCGGUAGUCGGCCAUGUACGCCUCAUCGGCGGCCUCCGGCUCAAGCCACCGCAGCGUUCACCACUCUCGGCAGCAGCGGAUCGAGCAACGACAUCUCGCCCCACACAAAGUUCAGGCGGUCAUCGACGCCGUGCAGCCGGACCGACCAAAGGUUGUACUCGCAGGCGGCAAGCUCGGCGGUGUGAAACAACCCAAGCCAAAGCUUCUUGUGCGUGUACCGAUCGGUGAUUUCAGCCACCCACAUCCCCCACGCCUGCUGCCAAACUCCAUGGUACUUCCUCUGUGGCAAAGACGGCACAAGGAGAUCAGGGAAGCCGGCGAGCCGGCCUGCAGUGCCGCAGUGGCAGCGGCGUGACGAGGGCGCGCCUACGCUGUGCUUGUGGUGGUGCGGAUCCACACUGUGGAUGGGCGGCGGGGAAUGGCGACCAUGUGAUUCGGCCAUGGCGGCAGCGGUGGGGGUGCUGGAACGCAGGGAUUAGGGAGGAGGAGAGGCAAACAAGGCGUGGGGAGUUUUACUCCGAGGCCGAGCGGUGGAGUAUAUUUACUCACCGGUUAAGUGGUGGAGUAAAUUUUAUACUCCUCUAUGGAUGUUGGAAGAUCGGCUAGGUCCUGGUUAGAGUUAAACCGGAGUUUUACUCUUCUAACCGGUUUUAGGGGAUCGGCUAGAGUUGCUCUUAGCCGCUAUCUCAUAGGAACCGACUGAUAAUCUAGAGGAUGUUGUCAAAAAGCCACCUUCUUCUAGAACCAUGCUCACAGAAUAUUUUUGGAUGAACCAGAAGGAUCCUUACGCGAAGUACUUCUUGUACAAAGAGUUCCCAGAAUUCUUCUGGUGUAUUAAGAAUAAGAAAAGGCGGCAAAGAGGAAAACAAAGGGUACAAGUUGAUAAAAAUUGUGUAUGCGAAGCCAGCUUAAGGCGAAAGAUACUUCUUCAGAGUCCUCCUUAGUCAUUUAAGAGGUGCGACUUAAUACGAUGGUUUGAAAAUUGUAAAUGGAAAGCUCUGCUUCACCUUUAGAGAAGCGUGUGAGCAGAAAGACCUCAUAGAGAUUGACAAUACCCUUGAUGAUUGCCUGGGUUAGGUUGCUACUUUCCAGAUGCCUUGUUAUCUAAGGUCUUUUGUGACUAUUAUGGUGUUCUAUGAGGAGACUAACAUUAGAGAAUUACUAGAUCAUGAAUGGCGCGCGUUGCUGCGCCCGUUCAUUUUAACAAUAGAAUGGCAGGAAUUUUCAUCAAGUACAGACCAAAAAAUAAUGAUAUGUUAAAUUUUCAUGGCCUCACAUACUAAAAUAUGUAUUUUGCCGUGAGCAUCCAUAUUGAGAAAAGAACGUUGAAAUGUUUAGAAAAUAUGAACAGUACAAACAUUCAAUAUUUUGUAAUUUUACGUACACUUGCUCAAUAUAGAUGGUGCAUCCAUAUUUCAACUUAGAAUGGAUCCACUCAUAUAAAUAUUAUUUAUAUCACCUUCACAACACAUGGUGACAAUAUUUUUAUGAACUACCGCAAAGAAAUCCAGCAAACUUCAAAAAUAAACCGAGAUGCAUGAAAUUUUUCAAUAUUUGGCAACAAUCCACUGCAAAACUGAAUCACAAUAACUCUGCAACAAAGGGUACAUCAUUGGUUCAGUGUAAGAAUAUGCUUAAUUUUAAGAACACAUCCCAUAUUCUAUAAAGCUCUCUUGUUAUACUUGGUCAAAAAAGAGCACAACAUCAAGUUGAAGGUUUUUAAGUAACUGAGACAAAACACAAAAGAAAAAUAUUGCAUAAAAGCAUUAUAACCAUACCACAAUGAUUGUCGUAGGAGUGAAGCCCUUGUCUUUAACCUGUCAACUAAUUGUACAGAACUUUCGUCUCUCCAUCCGGUCGCUGUCAUUAUAGAUACUUCAAGUUUGCUAUAUAUGAGGCACCCAUAACUAAUUACUGGAAUUCCUUUGACGCACCUGCAGAUGAAAUGGUAGUAAACAAGUUUGAUCCUCCGUGUGAGGUUAUAUCAUGUUUAUGUCCCAAAUGUGGACUCGUACCAUAUUUAAGAAUUUCAUAUAUAUAUUACCUACAAAUGUUUCAAAUGUUUUUUAUAAUGAAAUUACUACCCGAUAUGGAUUGGCUUAGUAAGUAAGAAAGGGAUAAUGGGGAUGAAAGAAGAUGAUUGUUGAUAACUUGCAACAUCAUGUCAAUAUUCUACAUCUUCCAUACAGCAAUAUGCAUUAUAGUGUUUAUGUUGAGCAUAAGGCAGUGGGGCAAUUAGCCAUUUUCUGAAGUUACCCACUUCAGAAGUUAUUUGGUUUGAUUUUCGUAUCAGUAAUCACGCAUAUAAUAAUUCCUUGGAGUUCCUUCCAAUUCACCACCUGCUAUGUACUUCUGCAAAAAAAACAUGGUAAGCAUGCAAAGACAUGAGAAAGAAAGAAAAUAUUAAACAUCAAGGAUAAUAGACUAACAUAACUGCUACAUCACUUAUAUUAUUUUUAAUUCAGUAAUUUUCGUACAAAACAUUGGUGGAACAACCUUAGUUCAUCAAAAUAAUUGUCGUAUUGUUAAGAAGUGCCAAGGUAUUCGAUACUUUCUCUAAAGCCCAUAAUAUUUUCCUUUGCGCUGCAAUAACCUGAAUAUAGUGCUGGAAUUUAGUCUAUUUUGGGACAGCCUAAUAGCAAUUUCAGAAAUUCCUAAUAAAUCCUAGAGGCCCACUUAGCCCAUUCGUGCAAGGCAAGGGGUACUACUAAAGUUUAGUCCCACAUUGCUAGUUUAGUGGGAGUUGGACCUCCUUAUAAUGGAGGUUGUUUCCCCACAUGUAUGAGCAUGAGAACAAGAGGGACAUCCAUGCGCGCUCCUCCUCCGCCGUCCGCCUCGCCACGCCACGCCACGCCACGCCACGCCUCGUCAUGACGCGGGUUGCGGGAAUGAGCCGAGUUGAAACACUGCACCCUUCGGCUGCUGCCUAUUUGUUUUGUCUCCCUCUUUCCCUUCAGCUCCCGACACAGCCUAUUCGCCUCCUUCUUUUGUGCCUAUAAAAGGGAGGUCGCUCCUCUCCAGAGAGACACACCAGAAGAUCAUCUCCCUCUCGCCACCGAAUUCCAAACUCUGAGCUGCUGCUACGAUCUUCACCAUCCUGGCUUGCGGCGUGCACCGCUGGUCGGGAGAGUAGGCCUUCGAAACCCCACCUCUUCGAGUCCUGUACAGGAGAAGGGCGAUAAGGUUUUUGGGGAGCGCUCUGCACGACUACUGACCGGUUCAUCAUGGAUGCUCCGGACACCGACGACCACUUCCCCAACGACGACUUCUUCCCCGACGUCGACAACCUCUUCGACAACAUGGCUGGCGAGGAUGUCGACCCCAAGACCAAUGCUUCUGUUGCUGUUCCGUACAUAUUCAUGCUCUUUCUGUUUGAGGUUCUGCCACAGUUUCUUGCUCUAGUGUCCGCUCUAGAUAUGUUCGGUUCUAGUUCAUAUAUGCAGAUGCUAUUUAUCUUAUCUUCGUAAGAUUGCAUGACUUGUUUUAUCUCUGCUAUAAUAGUCAUGUUUUAUCUACUAUUUCUGUUAAUAAAAUCACUUGAUAAGAAUUGAGAAGAUUUAUCAUAAGAAUUGACAAGAUUUAUCAUGAAAUGUACCCCUCUGUCCAUACAUAUAAGAUGUUUUUGCAGUUUAGUAGAUCCUACUGUCAAGCAAGGCUAAAAAAAUAGCCAAAGCUUGGGAGGGACUCCCUUUAAAUUACAUGCAACAUGAUUGGCAUAAGAAAGGUUAAGUUUUAUCAUCAAAUUGUGGUCUGACUGUCAAGAAAGAAGAAGAAAAAAGAUCCAUAAGUCACGUCAUUGCAUCAGGUUCCAUUUAAUUAACUGAAAUAAAAUUUAUUAAGCAUGAUCCGUUUACCGGUUGAACUGUUAGAACUAAUAACCAAACCAUGCUAACAUCAAUAACAAAGGAAAAGAAUAGUUGUGAUUUUCGUACAAGGAGAAAAAUUAACUUGGAGAAUAAUUUUGGUUGUCAUGAAGUUGUCUUAUCGUUCAACCAACCAUGAAGUUAUGCCAAUUUAAGAGGACGGAAUGGAACUAAGGCAUAAUGCAGUCAUUAAAUUUUAAAAGAACAUGAUCCCUUUAUUGUAUUAUUUAGUUAACUAUGUGAUUUGGAGUAAUUUAAGCCUCUCAACACUGUGAGUACCGGGAAUAAAAAUAUGCAUCUCAUUAGUUAUUUCCUUCUUUCUUUAAUUUGGGAGUUCGAUCUGAAACGCACUUCAGAUUCUUGCCAACAUACAUUUGUAUGUGAAGAUAGUUAUGACAAUACGCAGGUUUUACUACUUGUCUUAAUGGCCUGGAAUAUCUCAAGCGGGGAGGGAGGCAAAUACUCUACUUUCAGCGGUAAGCAUAUAUUAGAAAAUCCUAGAUACUCUGCAUAGAGGUAACCUACUUUCUUCGUUGACAAUCUGGACAUAGGUGCCAUCACACGAACACAUAUAUGAGAAAAUCCUACUUUGUCUAGUAGUAGACUACUUCCUUGUGGACAUGGUGCCGAUCCGACGAAGACACAACUACGUACAAGUCAAUAGCAACAUGUGGUACUAUUCUUGUUUCUUAAGCGAGGAGAAGGUCGACUAUAUCAUCCCAAUAGUAGUUCUAGUAAGCUUAGAAAGGAGAAACCAAACAGAGAAGCACAUUGCAAGUUAGGGACAACAAAAGAAAAUACAACACAACUACACAAGCAUGACAACUAUGAUCUACGGAUGAAUUACCUGAACCUUGAACUGGUUGCUACCCUAACUUUAUCUACAGCUCCAAGAUGACCUGAAAGAGGCAAUUCAUGAUUAGAUAUUGUGCAGGGAGUGUAAGAGAGGAUGACACAGGAGAGGGGAAGAGAGGAGUUUCUACUCGGUGGCGUUUACAGACAAGGGAGAGGGAGAUGGAGGUGGGUGUCACUCACCUGCAUCAGAUGAUGGCGAGGCCAGGGCGGUGAGAUCACAUCGCGGGGAGGGGCGCACGGAGUCCAGGUCGCGGAGUGUCAGAGAUUUGCAGUGGAGUUCCAUCGGUGUCGAAAUGAAUCAUGCGCGGAAAGCCGGCGACGAGGGGGCUGUGAGAUCAAAGAACAUGGCAGCAGCGGUUGGCGUAGUUAGGUCGUGCGUGAGGGAGUUCUCGGCAGCGUCCAUGCAAGGGCCGAAGGAGUGUCGUGUUUUUUAGUAAAACAACAUGCUUUAUUCAAUGUUCAAACUGAUAGGGAUACAUAGGUGAUCUAGAGGAAUACCUAGCCAGACAUGUCUACCCACCUCUAAACUAGUUGCCAUCCUAGCAGGAUUACGGGGUUCACUAUUUACACGGACACUGUUUGAAGCUAAACGGACACUCUUGAAAGUGUGGAACUCUAUCAAUAAUAUCUCUGAGGAUCAUUCCAUAAGGGCCCAGAUAAACCCUUUCUUGAAGCUCAUUCACGACUCUCAGAGAGUCGAAUGCAACACUAAUCUUGUUAAGAUGCAGGUCCUCAACUAGAGCCAUGGCCUCCCUGCAUGCAUGAGCUUCGAGCGUUGCCGGCUCCGUCACACCGGCUAGCCCCACUGCCCAUGCGCCCAGAAAUAGUCCCUCGUCAUUCCUACAGACAACUCCGACCGCUCCCUUGUUCGUUGUCUUAGCUACAACUCCAUCGGCAUUAAGUUUCACCAUGCCUGGACCUGGCCGAAGCCACCUUGCAGGCUCCCUCCUUGUUGUAGCAAUGGACCGAGCUGGUGAUGCUGCUUUGCUGCAGUAUUCAACCUCCUCAAUGUAUCGCCUGAUGAAUAAGUUUGUGGACCAUCGGCUUUGGAAUUCCCCCUCAUGAAUUACUCGACGCCGAGCCCACCAUAUCGCCCAAAAGGUGACCAGGACCUCCACAAAGAUGGCGUUGUCCAGCCUCGCGCUUAACCCAAACAGCCAUAACUUUGCAUCAUCUGUUUCAUCCCCAAACACCGGGAUUCAAGCGUCGUUCUCAAGCAGCACCCAAACGCUCUUUGCCAAAUUACAGUCAAGUAAUGCGUGUCUCCAGGAGUCAGCGCUGCGUUGCAAAUAGGACAUGCAGCUGAUUGUGCCAUCUUACGAUCCUUCCUGACCUCACCCGUGGGAAAAUAUGCCCUUGCUAAUCUCCAAGCGAAUACUUUCAAUUUGGCAGGGACUCUUGCCUUCCACAGAGCUGACACCAAUUCUUCUCCUCAUUCUCUCUAUUUGAGUUUUCUGUAGCUCCAUACAUCCAAUCCUCACGCUGCAACUUAGUCUCUACUAGCAUCAUGUAUGCCAAUCUCACCAACAGUCAGCCUGAUUAGCCAAACUAAGCAGGACCUGUUGGAUAGCGUCCACAUCCAUUGGAAGGAAGUGUGACUGAAGCUCCUGUAUGUUCCAUUCCUUCGACGCAGCAUGCAUGAAGUCGCAGACUCUAUCAUAUUUUUUUAGGGGUAAAGCCAAGUUUAUUCAUGAAAGUCCACAUGGAGUGGGAUACAUCUCUGGUCAUGAGGCACUCCAAACCAAACGUGGCGUCCCGGACCUGUAGAAAGCGAAAACUUGGCUAAGCUAUGUGCUUCAUAAUUAACAACACGACUCUCAAAAGAAAAUUUACACUGAAAAGUAGAUGACCUAAGAAUUAUCUCCUCAAUGAUCGCUCCAUAUGUCCCAUGUGACUUCCUGUUGAUAUCUGAUACAACUUGGCUGCAAUCCGAGGCGACAACAAAGUUCUGGAUGCCCAUAUCUUCUGCCAGGGACAAAGCUUCCCGGCACGCUACAGCCUCCAAAGUGGCCGGGUCUACCACUCCUUCGACAACCAAGGCUGAGCUGCCCAUAUAGUUUCCCAACUCAUCUCUGCAUACUGCAGCAGCUGAUCCUCCUCUUCUUGUCAUUACUCCAGCAUCAACAUGAAUCUUGCGGUAACCCGCUGGUGGUUUCUUUGGCCGGCGCUGACCAGGUUGGCCCGACGCAGGAGUGUUACCCCGCCCUGGGCCAUUAGUUUUGAUUGUAUCUAGUUCAGCAACAAACCUGACAACAAAUCCGUGGGUAGCUUGGGGACUGUGAAAGAUUGACUCUAUCAUGUGAGGGGUGUUUUUUUGGGGUUGCACGUCAGAAGCUAUUACAGGCCCAGUAGGCCCAAUUUAAUCUUAGAAGCCGAAAAAAGCCACCAGAGCAGCGGCCCAGUAAGUGUUAACGGUCGUUAGGAUCGACCGGAAAUUUCUAAAAGCGACAUCCAACGGCCACGAACGCUAAUGGCCUGAGAUGGCAGUAAAAGUGCUCGUUAUAAUGUAUAUAAAUGGGAGAGACAUGUAGAGUCAAUGUUCGAGGAUUUCCGUCGUAGCCAUUCCAACCAGGCCGCAUUGGGGAAUUGAUGGUGCUUAGAGACAUCCGACAUAUUUCUCACUAGAUGGGGAAGAAUAUAAAAAACAAUGGCCUUCCGGAGGUUGUUGAAAUAGAUGGUGAUUGUUCUAGCGACCACUUGAGAGAGGUACGGGAGGAGCUGUCUUUCGGUGUUGACCAAGAACAUCUUGAUAUGUUUACGUCUUUGAACAUCGAGCAACGGGUUGGAUUUGAUGAAAUACCACUAGUGCAGAAUCGAAAUAUUGUCCCGGUUCGUAAGGCCCUUUAGUGCCGGUUCUGAAACCGGCACUAAAGGGUGGGGACUAAAGUGGUCGAAUGUCUGGCACGACCAUUCACACAUACACAUGUAUAUAUACAAUUUCUCCUACAAUUUGCAGAUCAUUACAUGCAGGCAUUACUGCGGAGGCAUUACUGCGGUAGCGGGUAAUGGAAUUCUCCUUUGAGAUCUAUGACCUGGUCGAGCAAAAAUCCAGCUGUUUCCUCUUGAAUUGCUCGUGCGCGAUCCGUUGGUAGGAGCUGAUCCCGCAUCUCCUUCAUCUUUAAAGGAGAUCAAUAUGCAUGUAUUAGUUGUGUGUAUAUAUAUUAGAUAAUGAUGUAAAAAUUGUAAAUAGUGUUCUGGCAAACGUACCCAUAACUCUCUAUCAGUUCUGCUCCUUUCGGACGCCAUCAUGCGAAUGUUCUCGCAAACGUAGUAUGCACAUAAAUCAGUCCCCGGCGCCUACUUCAGGGCCUUUACGAGAAUAGAAUUUAAUCAGAUAAUAAUUAAUCAAGCAUGAUAAUUAAUGGUAUUGAAACUAGAAUUAAAGAGAUGUUAGCUAGCUAGCUAGUACUACUUAAUUAAUUACCUUGGGUCGACGCCGUAUCAGGUUUUGUUUCCAUGGGUCAUCAACCAGUUUGAUGAAAUUUUCCCAAGCCCUGCCCGCCGGCAAAGAAAAUGAAUAAAGGAGUUAUUACUUAGUUGAUAUCAGAAAAUGACGAACUAAAGAGGCCGACAUAUAGUUCGAUAAUGAUUGAAAUUACCUGUUGACCAUCCCCUUCACGAUUUCGUACUCAUAACGGGUUUAAGUAGUGAGUCCAGUAGUUCAACUUUUCCAUCGUCAACUUGAAUGAUUAACAAGAUCCAGUGGAAACUGCAUGCGCACACGUUUGCAUGUAUAAAUUAAGCAAGCAUGUGCAUAUAACUCAUCAACUACCCUAAACCCUAUACACUUAUUAACAUCUAGUAAGUAAGCAAAAACAGAAUUUGUAGUACAAGACAGUGUGACUCACCCGAAGUUGUAAGGAGUAAUAUAUCUCGAUUGGUAUUUAGGCGCUUCAAGAACUCUAGCAAGCUGUUCUCUGUGUCUUUUCGUUCCCAUUGACGCGUCCAUGUCUCUUGGUUAAUGGUAUUUGGGUCAAUGAACCCAAUGCCAUAGCGUCCUGCUUUUUUUCAUUUCAUAGAUCUUCAUUCUGCAUAAUACCAUAGAAAAGAAUAUAGUAAGGAUAAUUACAGGUAAUGAUCAACGAGCACUACAGCUAGCUUGAGACUUAAAUUACAGAAAGAAAUCACUUAUAGACAAUAGCAACUGAUGAUAGAUUUGUCGAGUGCGUCUUGAUUGAAUAACUGAAACAGUUCUGUAAACUCAACAUACAGAUCAUUCUCAUGGUAGUAAUGCUCUGGCUUGACUCUCACCAUGAGGGACUCUCGAUUGGUAGUCUUGGCAAUUUUCAUGUGCCAUUCAUGCAAUUCAUACAUUCUCGUUGAGAGCUUCUUGACCUCCUUAGGCUUGACCAUAGAUUCGCCGCGGGCAUAUUUCCGUUUUAGUUGCUGCUCUGUAAACCUUUCCAUGGGCUCGAUGCCUAGGAGUUGUUCUAUAGUGCAUCCGAUCUCUGCAGCUAGCCUUCUAUGAUCGUUGGUUAUUACCAGAUGAUCGACGCCGGUACUCACAUGUGUUGGUACAAUCAGCGAGGGGAUCGAUUGCACCGCCUGUUCUCCCAGCUAGGGAACAAUUUUCCCGCUUUUUUUGGCAGCUGCUGGGCUCGAGCUCGAGCUCGACUCCUUUUUUGUGCUUGAUAUGACUUCUGAUUUGGCGCUCAUAGUCUGAGUCAAUAGGCUUGGGAGCUGGUGGUUCAGCCAUACGAAUAAAGUGGUCAACGACAUGCUCAGGCAAUUUCUCCUUUGGCGGAGGUGGCGGUUUCGGUCCAAAAUGGUCCCUCAGUUGGGCUUGCACUUCGGCUUCAUUUUCCUCCUCAGUCAUGUCGUACGGCCUCUUCGGAAGAGGCUUGAGGCUUGGAACAAAUUGGUAUCUCUUGCCUCCUGUACUUGUACCGCUAGCCGCCGUAGCUGCGGCGGCUCUCUUCCGCUGUUGCUUAGGUGAUGGAGAUGACUGACGCGGUGCCUGACUUGGAGGAGGAGGAUUGGGCUGACGCGGUGCCGUACUUGGAGAAGGAGUGGGCUGACGCUGUGCUGCACUUGGAGGAGGAGGAGUGGGCUGACGUGUUAGCGGACUUGGAGGAGCAGGAGACUGCAGAGGCGGUGGCUGACUUGGAGGAGCUGGAGUAUGCUGACGCGGUGGCGGACUUGGAGGAGGAGCCGGCUGAUGUGGUGUCAAUGGCCUUGGAAAGACGAUGCAAUCCUUUCUCCGUAGAAUGAUAUGAUGUAUGGCCUCUCCCAAUGUGCGCUCGUCGUCACCUCUAGGAAUGUCAAGCUCUCGCCCCGAAUAUUGUGCAACCACUUCAUCAACCGUGACACGAGCAUAGCCAGCUGGAAUUGGAUUGCAAUGGAAGGUUGCUUCAGGGGGAUUUGUAUAAGCAACGCUGUCCGCCACCUUCACGGAUAUGUUCUUCAUUUUAAAGUGUAGCUCACAAUUAGGGUUAUCCAUGAUGUCAUCCACAGGGUACCUAUCCAGCAGUGCCUCAUCGCCCGGGGCGGAACCCACGCUGCUUCUCGGCAUGCAUGGGAUAGUGCUAUCCAAUGCUGGAUCCGCUAGCUGUUGCCGCUGCUGAGAGCCCCUUUCCUUGCUAAGUGAGUCGAUCUGCUUCUCCUACCGCUGGAAAGCGAGUGCCAACUCCGCGUGCCUUGAUUCUAGGCCUUGAAGGCGGUCUGCUUCCUGCUUCCUCUGCUCCUCCUUCAGCUUCCUCUUCUUCUCCUCCUCCAUCUUCUUUCUCGCACGGCUUCUAUAGUCGGCGUUCCAGUCAGCAAACCCCUCAAACCACGGAACAACGCAUUUGCCUCAUGUUCUUCCCGGGUGUUCAAGGUUCUUCAAGGCGUGCGUAAGCUCGUCGUUCUCUCUGUUGGGCGUGAACACCCCCGUUCGAGCCUCUUCUAUUGCAACAAGUAAAUCGAGGUCGGCUCCUUUAAGACUUGCCCGCUCCAAAACCUCGCUUGUCUUUGGGUCCAACGUCCCCCCAUGCGCAUAGAACCAAGUCCUGCACCUGGGGGGCCAGCUCAAUGUAACUGGAGUGACCCCUGCAUCCAUCAACUAUCGCUCAGAGAGAUCCCACUUAGGUCAGGCCACCUCGUAGCCACCUGGCCCCAGCUUAUGGUGCCAUAUCUUUUUCGCGGCAUUGAUCUUGUUUAUUCUCGACCGUUCCUGAGCUACUUCCGAUUCCUUGAAUUUCACGAAAGCGUCCCAGUGAUCUCUUUGCUUCUCAAGUGUUCCCUUGAAUUUUGGAGUCUUCUUUCCUCCUUCGACGUACUUGUUCCAUAUAGUUUUCUUGUGGUUGUUGAAUGCUAUCGCCAUCUUCCUAAGAGCAGCGUUCUUGACUUUCUCCACAUCUGCAUCUAUGAAAUGAUCUGGUAGCAUGAAAUGUGACAUGAGAGAUUCCCAAAGCCGAUCUUUUGCUCUUUGGUCGACAAAAGUAAGAUCUGGACGUUCCUUUGUUGGCUUCUUCCAUUCUUGAAUGGAGAUCGAGAUUUGGUCCUUCACAAGAACUUCGCACUGACGAAUGAACUCGCCCGCAUUCUUCUUAGGCUCACGCGGUUCGCCAUUAGGUUUGAUGGCAUCGAUGUUGUACUUUGCGCCAUCCUUCAACUUUUUGGCAAGGCCUCGCACUGUCCUGCUGCCCGUAGAAGAUUUGCUCGAUCCGGAGGGCUGAAAGAAGAAAGAUCAAUUUGUUAAUAUAUAUAUACAAAUCAAUUAAAACACGUGAUGAUCACCAGAUGCCUGCUUAUAUAAAUAUACCUCGCCGGUCUUUGUUAUUUCAAGAACAAGAUUUCCUUGGUCAUCGAUAUCAUAGUUCUCGACUUCAUCUAUUCUUUCGUCUUCAUCAAAUAUCAUACCCUCACCGGUAGGGUUCAGAUAUUACGAGCCGUCAUCUUCUUCAAACUCAUCAUCUGGGCGACGGGAGCGUAUGAUGUUGAACAUGACCUCCUCUUCUUCUAUGCCGGUAUUGUCCAUAGCUUUCAUUUAACUAAUCCAAAAGAAAUAUAAAACAAUUUUGUAUUCAAAUUAGAAUGCAUGCAUGCAUGCAUGCAAUCAAUAAGGAAAAACCGAAUCAUAGUACAUAAUAUGCAUCAUCGAAUAUAAUCUUGAAUACAUCGUCUCGAAUAUUAUCGAAUAAUAUAAUCUCAAAUGCAUCGUCUCGAAUAUUAUCGAAUACAACACUAGCUAGCUAAUACAGAACGAAUACUAUCGAAUAAUCUAGUUCACUCGCGGUUCCUGAGGCGCGGGCGGUGGACACCCAAAGAGAAGGAACCAUCACAGGAUCAUAGCUCGGGUGAGAUCCCCGAAGAACCUGCCAGGUAUUGGAGAACCUGACGUCCAACACAGCCAUGUAGCGACGGAUGUGCUUGUCCUCCUCCCUGACACGACGAUGUACCACCUCCGGCGGGGCCGGCUCCCUCCACACCGAAAGUGUACCACGUGAACGCCACCAAAGGAGCUCCGGGUCGACGACAGGACCCGGGGCCGGGUUCCUCCCCAAGCGGCGCGCCCCUGAAGGUAGCACCUCCCAGUGCCAGCCCGACGGAGCCCAGUCCCGAACAUGGCUCCUCUGAAGCAGGACGUCGUCGCGAACGGGUCGACGGUGAGGAUGCGGGCCGGGCAUCGUUGACGUCGAGAACAAAUUCUAUAUGCAAAUGUAACAUUUUUUAAAUGAUUGGAUUGUGAUUUAUUAUAUACGAGGAAAAACUUUAGUCCCUGGCAAUAUGAUCAGGAUUCAGAAUCAUAACGAAUUCUCUUAACCUUUAAGGGAUUUAACAAAAUGGCACCAUUCUGGGUGUGCAGAAAAUGAUCCAUGUUUUUCUGAUCUCAUCCCCUUCUAUAUGCCACAUUGUCUACUGUCAAAGGAUUCAAGAAAACCAUGGCUUCAUCAUUAGCCGGAAGUAACAGGCGCAUGAUGGUACGGAGCUCUCCAAAGUUGUUUUGGAACAAAGUCCCGGAUAAGAUAAUUCGCUUUUUGGUACGAAGUUCAGCAAGAGCCUUCCGAAUAUCGCUAUUUGGAAGGCCUUUGCUGAAUUUCGUACCAAAAAGCGAAUUAUCCUAUCAGGAUUCCAUUCCAAAAUAAUUUUGGAGAGCUUCGUACCAUCAUGCGCCUGUUACUUCCGGCUAAUGAUGAAACCCUGGAUUUCUUCAAUACUUUGACACAAGAGGACGUGCACAUAUAGAAGCGUAGAUGAGGUCGGGAAAAAUAUGGAUCAACUUAAUUAUGCACAUCCAUAAUGGGGGCAUUCUUGAUAAAUCUCUUAUUAAUGGGGGCAUACUUGAUAAAUCCCUUAUUAAAUGUUGCAUAUGUGUCAAAAUUCAAACUUUGACAUAUGAUCAAACUUUGACAUAUGAUCAAAUGUUGCAUAUGUCAAAAUUAAAACUUUGACAUAUGAUCAAACUUUCAUAUAUGAUCAAAUGUUGCAUCUGUCAAAAUUCAAACUUUGACAUAUGAUCAAAUGUUGCAUAUGUCAAAAUUCAAACUUUGACAUAUGAUCAAACUUUGAAAUAUGAUCAAAUGUUGCAUAUGUCAAAAUUCAAACUUUUCAUCUAAUUAACAUUUAUAUAUCUAAAAUUCUUCAAACCUUCCUAUAACUAAAAGUAUAAAAAAUAAAGAAAAUAUUCAUCUAAAAAAUUCAUCUAACAUUCAUCUAAAAAAUUCAUCUAACAUUUAUAUAUAUCUAAUUCAUCUAGCAUUUUUAUAUACAUUCAUCUAAAAGUAUAAAAAACUAAAAAACUGACAAACAAAAAUAAUUCAUCUAAUUAACUUGUGUGUGUGUGCGUGUGUGUGUGUGUGCGGCCAUGGCGGGGCAGGGGCUCACAACGGGCGNNNNNNNNNNNNNNNNNNNNNNNNNNNNNNNNNNNNNNNNNNNNNNNNNNNNNNNNNNNNNNNNNNNNNNNNNNNNNNNNNNNNNNNNNNNNNNNNNNNNNNNNNNNNNNNNNNNNNNNNNNNNNNNNNNNNNNNNNNNNNNNNNNNNNNNNNNNNNNNNNNNNNNNNNNNNNNNNNNNNNNNNNNNNNNNNNNNNNNNNNNNNNNNNNNNNNNNNNNNNNNNNNNNNNNNNNNNNNNNNNNNNNNNNNNNNNNNNNNNNNNNNNNNNNNNNNNNNNNNNNNNNNNNNNNNNNNNNNNNNNNNNNNNNNNNNNNNNNNNNNNNNNNNNNNNNNNNNNNNNNNNNNNNNNNNNNNNNNNNNNNNNNNNNNNNNNNNNNNNNNNNNNNNNNNNNNNNNNNNNNNNNNNNNNNNNNNNNNNNNNNNNNNNNNNNNNNNNNNNNNNNNNNNNNNNNNNNNNNNNNNNNNNNNNNNNNNNNNNNNNNNNNNNNNNNNNNNNNNNNNNNNNNNNNNNNNNNNNNNNNNNNNNNNNNNNNNNNNNNNNNNNNNNNNNNNNNNNNNNNNNNNCGACGAAGAAGAAGAAUAAACUGCAAAAUUUUGAAGUGUGAGUAUAUAUAGGAGGGGCCUUUAGUCCCGGUUGGAGCCACCAACCGGGACUAAAGGUCUAUUUUGGCCAGGCCAAGCGGCGGAAAGCGCAGGCCUUUAGUCCCGGUUGGUGGCUCCAACCGCGACUAAAGGGGGGCCUUUAGUCGCGGUUGGAGCCACCAAGCGGGACUAAAGGUGGUGCGCUACCACCCGCGGUGCACAAAGUUUAGUCCCACCUCGCCGAGUGAAGGGCAGCGCACUGGUUUAUAAACCCAGCCGUAGCUGCUCCUUCGAGCUCCUCUCCAAAUCAGGCUUCUGGGCCUAAAACUGUUGUGCUGCCCUGUGGGCCUGCUGGGCCUACAUCCUGGCCCAACUACAGGUUGGUUUUCUAGUCGUAUGCAGGCCGUUGUGGCCCAGUAGGCGGGCUUUUUUUCUUUUUUUGUUUUCUGCGUUAUUUACUUUCUUUUAUUUCUGAGUUAUUUUUUGCUUUAUUUAGAGUUUCUUUGUGAAUACUUUUGUUUUACGUAAAAAAAUUAUAAACUUUCUGUUAGUGCCAUUAGUUUUCAUAAAUUUGGAUAGUUUAAAUUUGAAUUAUUUGAAAUUUGUGUGGAUCACUAGUUUGUGAAUAACUUUACUUUAAAAAUAGAUUUUUCAGUGAUUCUUUUUUCUUAUGUUUAAUAUUAGUGUGUUUUAUCAUUAUAUUCAAUUUGGUAAUAAUUAGGUUAUUUAAAAAAUGAAAUGCCUUUGUAACAGAUGAGUUUUCGUCCGAAACCCUGAUACUUCAAAAGAGAUUGUCCAUUUUGUACACGAAGUGCAUCCAGUUUUUGCCGUAACCCUCUCAACUUUUUAGCACAUGCUAUGUGGGUGAAAUGAUGAUACCAUGCCAACUUUCAACCUUUUCAGAGUUCAUUUGUAGUGCUUUUCAAUUUCAGGGUCCUUUAGCUCAAUAAAAUCAGUAAAUGCAUGAAAAUAGCAAAUGAAGUCAGAAGGGGUUGAAAAUUGAUGAAGUGGCUUUGAAUGGUGCAUACUGAAUGCACAAAAAGUCUGGAGUUGAAAUAAGUUAAAAAAAUGAAAUGCCUUUGUAAUAGAUGAGUUUUCGUCCGAAACCAUCACACUUCGAAAGAGAUUGUCCAUUUUGUACACGAAGUGGAUCCAGUAUUUGCCGUAACCCUCUCAACUUUUUAGCACAUGCUAUGUGGGUGAAAUGAUGAUACCAUGCCAACUUUCGACGUUUUCAGAGUUCAUUUGUAGUGCUUUUCAAUUUCAGGGUCAUUUAGCUCAAAAAAAUCAGUAAAUGCAUGAAAAGUAGCAAAUGAAGUAAGAAAGGGUUGAAAAUUGAUGACGUGCUUUGAAUGGUGCAUAUUGAACACACAAAAAGUCUGGAGUUGAAAUAAGUUUAAAAAAUGAAAUGCCUUUGUAACAGAUGAGUUUUCGUCCGAAACCCUGAUACUUCGAAAGAGAUUGUCCAUUUUGUACACGAAGUGCAUCCUGUUUUUGCCGUAACCCUCUCAACUUUUUUGCACAUGCUAUGUGGGUGAAAUCAUGAUACCAUGCCAACUUUCAACCUUUUCAGAGUUCAUUUUAAGUGCUUUUUAAGUUCAGGGUCCUUUAGCUCAUAAAAAUUAGUAAAUGCAUGAAAAAUAGCAAAUGAAGUCCAACAUAAUGCAUGAAAUAAUUUGUUUGGACAUAAUAUUUCUUCGCGUUUCAAAUGACAAAACACAUAAGUACUCUAACUAUUACAAAGAUUCCCUCUGGUUUGUCCAAAGUGGGACUUUCCAGAUGACAGUGAAGCCGGUCACAUCCCAGAGUGGGAUCUUUGGGUGUGAAACUUUUUCUUCGCGUGUGUCCCUUUGCGCCGUAACUAUGGACAAUCUUCAUCAUUUAAAUGGAUGCUCGAGUCAAUAUUCACUGUGAAGGGAGCAAUUUCAUGAAGCUUUUCAUAAUCUUCUGACAUGUCUGUCUUGUCAUCCACUCCCACGAUGUUUCCUUUCCCUGAAAGAACUAUGUGGCGCUUUGGCUCAUCGUAUGAUGUAUUCGCUUCCUUAUCUUUUCUUUUUCUCGACUUGGUAGACAUCUCCUUCACAUAGAAAACCUGCGCCACAUCAUUGGCUAGGACGAAUGGUUCGUCUGCGUAUGCAAGAUUGUUGAGAUCCACUGUUGUCAUUCCGUACUGCGGGUCUUCCGUUACCCCGCCUCGUGUCAGAUUGACCCAUUUGCACCGAAACAAAGGGAGCUUCAAAGCACGUCCAUAGUCAAGUUCCCAUAUCUCCUCUAUGUAACGAUAAUAUGUGUGUCCUUUCCCCUCUUGAUUGCUGCAUCAAAGCGGACACCACUGUUUUGGUUGGUGCUCUUCUUCUCUUGGGCGAUCGUGUACAAUGUAUUCUCAUUUAUCUCGUACCCUUUGAAAGUCAUUAUAUUCGAAGAUGGUAAUUGGGACAGCAAGUACAGGUCAUCUUCAACAGCUCGUCAUGCAUGGCACGUGUCUGCAACCAACCGGUGAAAGUCCCUGUUUGUUCGCGUGUAAUCCAGUCGUCAAACUGCUCCGGGUGUUUGGAGCGUAGAAUAUUCUUGUGUUCCUCCAUAUACGGAGCCACCAAGGCGGAAUUUUGUAGAACUAUGUAGUGUACUUGAGUGAGAGAAUGCCCGUCCAUACAUAUUAUUUGUUUCGGUCCUAGCGUGCCAUUUCCACCCAGUCUGCCCUUAUGCCGUGAUUCGGGAACACCAAUCGGCUUAUGGUCAGGAAUAAAGUCAAUACAAAACUCAAUGACCUCCUCAUUUUCAUGGCCCUUGGAGAUGCUUCCUUCUGGCCUAGCACGGUUAUGAACAUAUUUCUUUAAGACUCCCAUGAACCUCUCAAAGGGGAAUAUAUUGUGUAGAAAUACAGGACCGAGAACGACAAUCUCUUCGCAUAGGUGAACUAGGACAUGCGUCAUGAUGUUGAAGAAGGAUGGUGGGAACACCAACUCGAAACUGACAAGACAUUGCACCAAAUCAUUCUCUAACCUUGGUAUGAUUUCUGGAUCGAUUACCUUCUGAGAGAUUGCAUUGAGGAAUGCACAUAUCUUCACAAUGGCUAAUCGAACGUUUUCCGGUAGAAGCCCCCUCAAUGCAACCGGAAGCAGCUGCAUCAUAAUCACGUGGUAGUCAUGAGACUUUAGUUUCUGGAACUUUUUCUUUGCCAUAUUUAUUAUUCCCUUUAUAUUGGACGAGAAGCCAAACAGGACCUUCAUACUGAGCAGGCAUUCAAAGAAGAUUUCCUUCUCUUCUCUGGUAAGAGCAUAGGUGGCAUGACCCUGAUGUAUGCCGUCUUUUCCGUGCAUACGUUGCUGGUCCUCCCGUGCCUCCGGUGUAUCUUUUGUCUUCCCAUACACGCCCAAGCCAAGCAGGGUCACGCAAAGAUUCUUCGUCACGUGCAUCACGUUGAUUGCAGAGUGGACCUCUAGGUCUUUCCAAUAGGGUAGGUCCCAAAAAUAUAGAUUUCUUCUUCCACAUGGGUGCGCGUCCGUCAGCGUCAUUCGGAACGGAUUGUCCGUCAGGACCCUUUCCAAAGAUUACCUUCAAAUCCUUGACCAUAUCAUGUACAUCAUCACCAGUACGGUGGCGAGGCUUCGUCCGGUGAUCUGCCUCACCUUUGAAAUGCUUGCUUAUCUUUCUUAUGGGAUGCCUGCUCGGAAGAAACCGACGAUGACCCAGGUACACAUUCUUCUUAGAAUUAUCCAAAUAUAUACUGUCGGUAUCAUCCAAAUAGUGCGUGCAUGCGCGGUAUCCCUUGUUUGCCUGUCCUGGAAGGUUACUGACAGCAGAAUCAUUGAUGGUCACAAACAGCAACGCAUGUAGGUCAAAUUCUUCAUGAUUGAGCUCAUCCCACGCAUGUACACCUUUUCCAUUCUAUAGCUGUAAGAGUUCUUCAAAUAAUGGCCUUAGGAACACAUCAAUGUCGUUGCCGGGUUGCUUAGGGCCUUGGAUGGGCACUGGCAUCAUAAUGAACUUCCGCUUCAUGCACAACCAAGGAGGAAGGUUAUACAUACAUAGAGUCACAGGCCAGGUGCUAUGAUUGCUGCUCUGCUCCCCAAAAGGAUUAAUGCCAUCUGCGCUUAGACCAAACCAUACGUUCCUUGCGUCACCUGCAAAGUCCUCUCAAUACUUUCUCUCGAUUUUUCUCCACUGCGACCCGUCAGCGGGUACUCUCAACUUCCCGUCUUUCUUACGGUCUUCUCUGUGCCAUCGCAUCAACUUGGAAUGCCCUUUGUUUUGGAACAAAUGUUUCAACCGUGGUAUUAUAGGAGGAUACCACAUCACCUUGGCAGGUAUCUUCUUCCUGGGGCGCUCUCCCUCGACAUCACCAGGGUCAUCGCGGCUGAUCUUAUAGCGCAAUGCACCGCAUAUCGGGCACGCAUUCAAAUCCUCGUACUCACCGCGGUAGAGGAUGCAGUCAUUAGGGCAUGCAUGUAUCUUCUGCACCUCUAAUCCUAGAGGGCAGACAGCCUUCUUUGCUUCGUACGUACUCUCGGGCAAUUCGUUGUCCUUUGAAAGCAUCUUCUUUAACAUUAUCAGCAAGUUUCCAAAUCCCUUGUCAGAUACACCAUUAUCUGCCUUCCAUUGCAGCAAUUCCAGUGUGGUGCCCAGCUUUUUCUUGUCAGCUUCGCAAUUUGGGUACAACAAUUUCUUGUGAUCCUCUAACAUGCGCUGCAACUUCAGCCUCUCCUUUUCAGUUGCGCACUUUCUCUUUGCAUCGGCAAUGGCCCGAUCUAGAUCAUCAGCGGGCACAUCUGAUGCCUCUUCUUCAGCUUCUUCCUGCAUUGCUGACUCAGCUUCUUCCCCCAUUGUUGUGCCAUCGUAUUCAGGGAACCCAUGGCCAGGAUAGUUAUCGUCCUCCUCUUCUUCUUCAUUGACUUCCAUCGUAACCCCUCUUUCUCCGUGCUUGGUCCAAACAUUAUAGUGGGGCAUGAAACCGGACUCAAACAGGUGUACGUGAAUGGUUUUUGACUUAGAGUACUUCCGAUCAUUCUUAUAGCCAGCACAUGGACAAGACAUAAAACCAUCUGCCCGCUUGUUUACCUCAGCCGCAAGCAAAAAACUACGCACGCCAUUAACGAACCGGGGAGAGCAUCGGUCAUCGUACAUCCUUUGCCGUCUCAUCUUCAUUACACAGCACCGAAAAGACCAAAUUAAUACAAGUUCAUACACACUUAUGAAGGAAAUAUGCCCUAGAGGCAAUAAUAAAGUUAUUAUUUAUUUCCUUAUAUCAUGAUAAAUGUUUAUUAUUCAUGCUAGAAUUGUAUUAACCGGAAACAUAAUACAUGUGUGAAUACAUAGACAAACAUAGUGUCACUAGUAUGCCUCUACUUGACUAGCUCGUUGAUCAAAGAUGGUUGAGUUUCCUAGCCAUGGACAUGAGUUGUCAUUUGAUUAACGGGAUCACAUCAUUAGGAGAAUGAUGUGAUUGACUUGACCCAUUCCGUUAGCUUAGCACUUGAUCGUUUGGUAUGUUGCUAUUGCUUUCUUCAUGACUCAUACAUGUUCCUAUGACUAUGAGAUUAUGCAACUCCCGUUUACCGAAGGAACACUUUGUGUGCUACCAAACGUCACAACGUAACUGGGUGAUUAUAAAGGUGCUCUACAGGUGUCUCCGAAGGUACUUGUUGAGUUGGCGUAUUUCGAGAUUAGGAUUUGUCACUCCGAUUGUCGGAGAGGUAUCUCUGGGCCCUCUCGGUAAUGCACAUCACUAUAAGCCUUGCAAGCAAUGUGACUAAUGAGUUAGUUGCGGGAUGAUGCAUUGUGUAACGAGUAAAGAGACUUGCCGGCAACAAGAUUGAACUAGGUAUUGUGAUACCGACGAUCGAAUCUCGGGCAAGUAACAUACCGAUGACAAAGGGAACAACGUAUGUUGUUAUGCGGUUUGGCCGAUACAGAUCUUCGUAGAAUAUGUGUGAGCCAAAAUGAGCAUCCAGUUUCAGCUAUUGGUUAUUGACCGGAGACGUGUCUCGGUCAUGUCUACAUAGUUCUCGAACCCGUAGGGUCCGCAUGCUUAAAGUUCGAUGAUGAUCGGUAUUAUGAGUUUAUGUGUUUUGAUGUACCGAAGGUAGUUCGGAGUCCCAGAUGAGAUCGAGGACUUGACGAGGAGUCUUGAAAUGGUCGAGACAUAAAGAUUGAUAUAUUGGAAGGUUAUAUUCGGACACCGGAAGGGUUCCAGGGGUNNNNNNNNNNNNNNNNNNNNNNNNNNNNNNNNNNNNNNNNNNNNNNNNNNNNNNNNNNNNNNNNNNNNNNNNNNNNNNNNNNNNNNNNNNNNNNNNNNNNNNNNNNNNNNNNNNNNNNNNNNNNNNNNNNNNNNNNNNNNNNNNNNNNNNNNNNNNNNNNNNNNNNNNNNNNNNNNNNNNNNNNNNNNNNNNNNNNNNNNNNNNNNNNGCAAGGGGGGCCGGCCCCCUCUUUCCUUCUCCUCCUCUCCCUUUCCUUCCCCCUCUCCUACUCCUACUAGGAAAAGGAGGAGGCUACUCCUAGUGGGAGUAGGACUCCCCCUCUCGGCGCGCCUCUCCUUGGCCAGCCACCUCCUCCCUCCCUCCUUUAUAUACGGGGGCAGGGGGGCACCCCAAGACACACAAGUUGAUCUGUUGAUCUAUUCCAGCCGUGUGCUCAGGUGAAGCCCUGCGUCGGUAGCAACAUCGUCACCGUCAUCACGCCGUCGUACUGACGGAACUCUCCCGUGAAGCUCUGCUGGAUUGGAGUUAACGGGACGUCAUCGAGCUGAACGUGUGCUGAACUCGGAGGUGCCGUAGUUGGUACAUGGAUCGGUCGGAUCGUGAAGACGUACGACUACAUCAACCGCGUUGUGCUAACGCUUCCGCUUUCGGUCUACGAGGGUACGUGGACAACAAUCUCCCCUCUCGUUGCUAUGCAUCACCAUGAUCUAGCUGUGCGUAGGAUUUUUUUGAAAUUACUACGUUCCCCAACAGUGGUAUCAGAGCCAGGUUUAUGCAUAGAUAUUAUAUGCACGAGUAGAACACAAGUGAGUUAUGGGCGAUACAAGUCAUACUGCUUACCAGCAUGUCAUACUUUGGUUCGGCGGUAUUGUUGGAUGAAGCGGCCCGGACCGACAUUACGCGCACGCUUACGCGAGACUGGUUCUACCGACGUGCUUUGCACACAGGUGGCUGGCGGGUGUCUGUUUCUCCAACUUUAGUUGAACCGAGUGUGGCUACGCCCGAUCCUUGUGAAGGUUAAAACAGCACUAACUUGACGAACUAUCGUUGUGGUUUUGAUGCGUCGGUAAGAACGGUUCUUGCUCAGCCCGUAUUGCAACAACAAAGUAGAGGACGUCUAACUUGUUUUUGCAGGGCAUGUUGUGAUGUGAUAUGGUCAAGGCAUGAUGCUAUAUUUUAUUGUAUGAGAUGAUCAUGUUUUGUAACCGAGUUAUCGGCAACUAGCAGGAGCCAUAUGGUUGUGGCUUUAUUGUAUGCAAUGCAAUCACCCUGUAAUUGCUUUACUUUAUCACUAAGCGGUAGCGAUAGUCGUAGAAGCAAUAGUUGGUGAGACGACAACGAUGCUACGAUGGAGAUCAAGGUGUCGCGCCGGUGAUGAUGGUGAUCAUGACGGUGCAUCGGAGAUGGAGAUCACAAGCACAAGAUGAUGAUGGCCAUAUCAUAUCACUUAUAUUGAUUGCAUGUGAUGUUUAUAUUUUAUGCAUCUUAUCUUGCUUUGAUUUACGGUAGCAUUUUAAGAUGAUCUCUCACUAAAUUAUCAAAGUAUAAGUGUUCUCCCUGAGUAUGCACCGUUGCGAAAGUUCUUCAUGCUGAGACACCACGUGAUGAUCGGGUGUGAUAGGCUCUACGUUCAAAUACAACGGGUGCAAAACAGUUGCACACGCGGAAUACUCAGGUUAAACUUGACGAGCCUAGCAUAUAACAGAUAUGGCCUCGGAACACUGAGACCGAAAGAUCGAGCAUGAAUCAUAUAGUAGAUAUGAUCAACAUAAAUGAUGUUCACCAUUGAAACUACUCCAUCUCACGUGAUGAUCGGACAUGGUUUAGUUGAUAUGGAUCACGUGACCACUUAGAGGAUUAGAGGGAUGUCUAUCUAAGUGGGAGUUCUUAAGUAAUAUGAUUAAAUUGAACUUUAAUUUAUCAUGAACUUAGUCCUGGUAGUAUUAGCAUAUCUAUGUUGUAGAUCAAUAGCUCGCGUUUAGUUCCCCUGUUUUAUUUUUGAUAUGUUCCUAGAGAAAACUAAGUUGAAAGAUGUUAGUAGCAAUGAUACGGAUUGGAUCCGUGAUCUGAGGAUUAUCCUCAUUGUUGCACAGAAGAAUUAUGUCCUUGAUGCACCACUAGGUGACAGACCGAUUGCAGGAGCAACUACAGACGUCAUGAACGUUUGGCAAGCUCGAUAUGAUGACUACUUGAUAGUUUAGUGCACCAUGCUUUACGGCUUAGAAUCGGGGCUUCAAAGACGUUUUUUUAAACGCCACGGAGCAUAUAAGAUGUUCCAAGAGUUGAAAUUAGUAUUUCAGACUCAUGCCCGUGUCGAGAGCUAUGAGACAUCUGACAGUACUUUGCCUACAAGAUGGAGGAGAAUUGCUCAGCUAGUGAGCAUGUGCUCAGAAUGUCUGAGUACUACAAUCACUUGAAUCAAGUGGGUGUUAAUCUUCCAGAUAAGAUAGUGAUUGGCAGAGUUCUCUAGUCACUAUCACCAAGUUACUAGAACUUCGUGAUGAACUAUAAUAUGCAAGGGAUAACGGAAACGAUUCCCAAGCUCUUCGUGAUGCUGAAAUUGACGAAGGUAGAAAUCAAGAAAAACAUCAAGUGUUGAUGGUUGACAAGACCACUAGUUUCAAGAAAAGGGCAAAGGGAAGAAGGGGAACUUCAAGAAGAACGGCAAGCGAGUUGCUGCUCAAGUGAAGAAGCCCAAGUCUGGACCUAAGCCUGAGACUAAGUGCUUUUACUGCAAAGGGACUGGUCACUAGAAGUGGAAUUGCCCUAGAUACUUGGCGGAUAAGAAGGAUGGCAUAGUGAACAAAGGUAUAUUUGAUAUACAUGUUAUUGAUGUGUACUUUACUAGUGUUUAUAGCAACCCCUUAGUAUUUGAUACUAGUUCAGUUGCUAAGAUUAGUAACUCGAAACAGGAGUUGCAGAAUGAACAGAGACUAGUUAAGGGUGAAGUGACGAUGUGUGUUGGAAGUAGUUCCAAGAUUGAUAUGAUCAUCAUCGCACACUCCCUAUACUUUCGGGAUUAGUGUUGAACCUAAAUAAGUGUUAUUUGGUGUUUGCGUUGAGCAUGAAUAUGAUUUGAUCAUGUUUAUUGCAAUACGGUUAUUCCUUUAAGUUAGAGAAUAAUUGUUGUUCUGUUUACAUGAAUAAAACCUUCUAUGGUCAUACACCCAAUGAAAAUGGUUUGUUGGAUCUCGAUCGUAGUGAUACACAUAUUCAUAAUAUUGAAGCCAAAAGAUGCAAAGUUAAUAAUGAUAGUGCAACUUAUUUGUGGCACUACCGUUUGGGUCAUAUUGGUGUAAAGCGCAUGAAGAAAUUCCAUGCUAAUGGGCUUUUGAAAUCACUUGAUUAUGAAUCACUUGAUGCUUGCGAACCAUGCCUCAUGGGAAAGAUGACUAAGACUCCGUUCUCCGGAACAAUGGAGCGAACAACUGACUUAUUGGAAAUAAUACAUACUGAUGUAUGCGGUCCGAUGAGUGUUAAGGCUCGCGGCAAGUAUCAUUAUUUUCUGACCUUCACAGAUGAUUUGGGCAGAUAUGGGUAUAUCUACUUGAUGAAACAUAAGUCUGAAACAUUUGAAAAGUUCAAAGAAUUUCAGAGUGAAGUGGAGAAUCAUCGUAAUAAGAAAAUAAAAGUUUCUACGAUAUGAUCGCAGAGGUAAAAUAUUUGAGUUACGAGUUUGGCCUUCAGUCAAAACAAUGUGAAAUAGUUUCACUACUCACGCCACCUAGAACACUACAGUGUAAUGGUGUGUCCGAACGUCAUAACGUACUUUAUUAGACAUGGUGCGAUCUAUGAUGUCUCUUACCGAUUUACCACUAUCGUUUUGGGAUUAUGCAUUAGAGACAGCUGCAUUCACGUUAAAUAGGGCACCAUCUAAAUCCGUUGAGAUGACACCGUAUGAACUAUGGUUUAGCAAUAAACCUAAGCUGUCGUUUAUUAAAGUUUGGAGUUGCGAUGCUUAUGUGAAAAAGUUUCAACCUGAUAAGCUCGAACCCAAAUCGGAGAAAUAUGUCUUCAUAGGAUACGCAAAGGAAACUGUUGGGUACCCUUCUAUCACAGAUCCGAAGGCAAGACAUUCGUUGCUGAGAAUGGAUCCUUUCUAGAGAAGGAGUUUCUCUCGAAAGAAGUGAGUGGGAGGAAAGUAGAACUUGAUGAGGUAAUAGUACCUUCUCCCAAAUUGGAAAAUAGUUCAUCACUGGAAUCAGUUCCAGUGAUGCCUACACCAAUUAGUGAGGAAGAUUAAUGAUUAUGAUCAUGAAACUUCAGAUCAAGUUACUACCGAACCUCGUAGAUCAACCAGAGUACGGUCCGCACCAGAGUGGUAUGGUAAUCCUGUUCUGGAGGUCAUGUUGCUUGACCAUAACAAACCUACGAACUAUGAGGAAGCGAUGAUGAGCCCAGAUUCCGCAAAAUGGUUUAAGGCCAUGAAAUCUGAGAUGGGAUCCAUGUAUGAAAACAAAGUAUGGACUUUGGUUGACUUGCCCAAUGACUUGCCUAAUGGGAUUCAAGAGGAGGACGGACAUUGAGAGUAGUGUUACUAUCUACAAAGCUAGACUUGUCGAAAAAGGUUUCUGACAAAGUUCAAGGUGUUGACUACGAUGAGAUUUUCUCACUCGUAGCGAUGCUUAAGUCUAUCCGAAUCAUGUUAGAAAAUUGCCACAUUUUAUGAAAUCUGGCAAAUGGAUGUCAAAACUACAUUCCUUAAUGGAUUUCUUAAAGAAGAGUUGUAUAUGAUGCAACCAGAAGGUUUUGUUGAUCCUAAAGGUGCUAACAAAAUGUGCAAGCUCCAGCGAUCCAUCUAUGGGCUGGUGCAAGCAUCUCGGAGUUGGAAUAUACGCUUUUGAUGAGUUGAUCAAAGCAUAUAGUUUUAUACAGACUUGUGGUGAAGCUUGUAUUUACAAGAAAGUGAGUGGGAGCACUACAGCCUUUCUGAUAAGUAUAUGUGAAUGACAUAUUGUCGAUCGGAAAUGAUGUAGAAUUUUCUAUAAAGCAUAAAGGAGUGUUUGAAAGGAGUUUUUCAAAGAAAGACCUCGGUGAAGCUGCUUACAUAUUGAGCAUCAGGAUCUAUAGAGAUAGAUCAAGACGUUUAAAUUUUUUCAAUGAGUACAUACCUUGACAAGUUUUUGAAGUAGUUCAAAAUGGAACAGUCAAAGAAAGAGUUCUUGCCUGUGUUGCAAGGUGUGAAGUUGAGUAAGACUCAAAACCCGACCACGGCAGAAGAUAGAGAGAGAAUGAAAGUCAUUCCCUAUGCCUCAGCUAUAGGUUCUAAAAGUAUGCCAUGCUAUGUACCAGACCUAUUGUAUACCCUGCCCUGAGUUUGGCAAGGGAGUACAAUAGUGAUCUAGGAGUAGAUCACUAGACAUUGGUCAAAAUUAUCCUUAGUGGAAUAAGGAUAUGUUUCUCGGUUAUGGAGGUGACGAAAAGUUCAUCGUAAAGGGUUACGUCGAUGCAAGUUUUGGCACUGAUCCGGAUGACUCUAAAUCUCAAUCUGGAUACAUAUUGAAAGUGGGAGAAAUUAGCUAGAGUAGCUCCGUGCAGAGCAUUAUUGACAUAGAAAUUUGCAAAAUACAUACGGAUCUGAAUUUGGCAGACCCGUUGACUAAACUUCUGUCACAAGCAAAACAUGAUCACACCUUUGUACUCUUUGGGUGUUAAUCACAUGGAGAUGUGAACUAGAUUGCUGACUCUAGUAAACCCUUUGGGUGUUGGUCACAUGACGAUGUGAACUAUGGGUGUUAAUCACAUGGUGAUGUGAACUAUUGAUGUUAAAUCACAUGGCGAUGUGAUCUAGAUUAUUGACUCUAGUGCAAGUGGGAGACUGAAGGAAAUAUGCCCUAGAGGCAAUAAUAAAGUUAUUAUUUAUUUCCUUAUAUCAUGAUAAAUGUUUAUUAUUCAUGCUAGAAUUGUAUUAACUGGAAACAUAAUGCAUGUGUGAAUACAUAGACAAACAUAGUGUCACUAGUAUGCCUCUACUUGACUAGCUCGUUGAUCAAAGAUGGUUGAGUUCCUAGCCAUGGACAUGAGUUGUCAUUUGAUUAACGGGAUCACAUCAUUAGGAGAAUGAUGUGAUUGACUUGACCCAUUCCGUUAGCUUAGCACUUGAUCGUUUAGUAUGUUGCUAUUGCUUUCUUCAUGACUCAUGCAUGUUCCUAUGACUAUGAGAUUAUGCAACUCCCGUUUACCGGAGGAACACUUUGUGUGCUACCAAACGUCACAACGUAACUGGGUGAUUGUAAAGGUGCUCUACAGGUGUCUCUGAAGGUACUUGUUGAGUUGGCGUAUUUCGAGAUUAGGAUUUGUCACUCCGAUUGUCGGAGAGGUAUCUCUAGGCCCUCUCGGUAAUGCACAUCACUAUAAGCCUUGCAAGCAAUGUGACUAAUGAGUUAGUUGCGGGAUGAUGCAUUACGUAACGAGUAAAGAGACUUGCCGGCAACGAGAUUGAACUAGGUAUUGAGAUACCGACGAUUGAAUCUCAGGCAAGUAACAUACCGAUGACAAAGGGAACAACGUAUGUUGUUAUGCGGUUUGACCGAUAAAGAUCUUCGUAGAAUAUGUGGGAGCCAAUAUGAGCAUGUAGGUUCCUCUAUUGAUUAUUGACCGGAGACGUGUCUCUGUCAUGUCUACAUAGUUCUCGAACCCGUAGGGUCCGCACACUUAAAGUUCGGUGACGAUCGGUAUUAUGAGUUUAUGUGUUUUGAUGUACCGAAGGUAGUUCGGAGUCCCGGAUGAGAUCAGGGACAUGACGAGGAGUCUUCAAAUGGUCGAGACAUAAAGAUUGAUAUAUUGGAAGGUUAUAUUCGGACACCGGAAGGGUUCCGGGGGUUACCGGAUAAAUACCGGAGUACCGGGGGUUACCGGAACCCCCUCGGGGACUUAAUGGGCCUACAUGGGCCUUAGUGGAAAUAGAGGGCAGCAAGGGGAGUGUGGGGCGUGCCCUCCCAAGGCCCAAACCGAAUUGGUUUAGGGCAAGGGGGGCCGGCCCCCUCUUUCCUUCUCCUCCUCUCCCUUUCCUUCCCCCUCUCCUACUCCUACUAGGAAAAGGAGGAGUCCUACUCCUAGUGGGAGUAGGACUCCCCCUCUUGGCGCGCCUCUCCUUGGCCGGCCACCUCCUCCCUCCCUCCUUUAUAUAUGGGGGCAGGGGGCACCCCAAGACACACAAGUUGAUCUGUUGAUCUAUUCCAGCCGUGUGCGGUGCCCCCCUCCACGAUAUUCCACCUCGGUCAUAUCGUAGCGGUGCUUAGCCGAAGCCCUGCGUUGGUAGCAACAUCAUCACCGUCAUCACGCCGUCGUGCUGACGGAACUCUCCCGUGAAGCUCUGCUGGAUUGGAGUUCACGGGACGUCAUCGAGCUGAACGUGUGCUGAACUCGGAGGUGUCGUACGUUCGGUACUUGGAUUGGUCGGAUCGUGAAGACGUACGACUACAUCAACCGCGUUGUGCUAACGCUUCCGCUUUCGGUCUACGAGGGUACGUGGACAACACUCUCCCCUCUCGUUGCUAUGCAUCACCAUGAUCUUGCGUGUGCGUAGGAUUUUUUUUUCAAAUUACUACGUUCCCCAACAACUUAUUCUCAUAAAACAACAUACAAACUCUCUAGCUAAAGCAUUUAAAUGCAACAACAAAUGCGAUCAAGAUCGCAACUAAGGUAAUAAUUGAUCCAACAGCAUAAUGAUACCAAGCCUCACUAAAUGGCAUAUUUUCUAAUCUUUCUAAUCUUCAAGCGCAUUUUCCCCAUCUUGAUCUUGUGAUCAUCGACUACAUCGGCAACAUGCAACUCCAAUUCCAUCUUCUCCUCCUCAGUUCUUUUCAAUUUUUCUUUCAAAUACUCGUUUUCAUUUUCAACUAAAUUUAACCUCUCGACAAUAGGGUCGGUUGGAAUUUCCGGUUCACAUACCUCCUAGAUAGAAAUAUCUAUGUCAACUUGAUGGGCAUAAUUUUUCAUAAACACGAAAUGCAACAAAUAGUUAUAAAAGAGAAUAUACCACAUCCGAAUCAUAAACCGGACGAGGGCCGACGGGGACGGAUAUCAAAACCAUGGCACUAUGUAUAAAAAACAACGCACGGGUAAGAUAAUUAUACAAGUAACUAUAUAUCUAAAUCACACAAACAUGAUUCUUUUAUAUAAAAAAGAUAAGAACAAGAGGCUCACCACAAGGUGGUGCCGGCGAUGGGACGGUGCGGGCGAUCGACGAUGGUUAGGACGGAGACGGGAAGGCACUAAGUAAACCACACCUACAUAUGCAAACUAAGAGUUAUUUUGAGCUCAAAUUGCAUAUAAAUCAAAUAAACUACCACAUAUAAUUCCUCCUAAACUAAAAUCCACAAAUCACUAUACUUAUAGAGCAUUGCAAGAGCUAAUCUAGCAAUGAGAGAUGAAAGGACAAAGUUGCUAACCUUUGUGAUCACUUGGAUGGAUGGGGUGCCUUCAAAUCUUGACAAAUUUUGUCAAAAAUGGAGGAUGAGCUCGAGAGGAGAGGAAGAAAACAGAGAGGAGAGGAAAGGGGAAGAACAGAGAGUUCGGGGUCGACGAAGGGUUUAUGUAGGAUGAUCUUUAGUCCCAGUUUGUUCUACAAACCGGGACUAAAGGUGCAUAUAUAGUCCCGGUUCGUGCCACGAACCGGGACUAAAGGUGUUGGUGGGGCCGCAGCUUGACACCAGCCUGCCACCACCUCUUUAGUCCCGGUUCGUGGCACGAACCCGUACUAAAGGUUCGACACGAACCGGGACUAAUGAGCGCCGCCCGCCUAGCCGUUGGAACCGGCACUAAUGGUCACAUUAGUACCGGUUCAUUUACAAACCAGGACUAAUGAGCUGAACAUUAGGCCCUUUUUCUACUAGCGUACUGGAUCACAUGGUCAACAACAAGAGACGAAUUUUCUUUGUUAACGGUCUAAGUGGCAUGGGGGAGACUUAUCUGUAUAAGGCGCUUCUUGUGAGGGUGCGGUAAAUAGGACAAGUCGCUAUUGCAACAACAACAUCUGGUACAGGAGCAUUGAUCAUGCCUGGUGGACACACCGCCCACUCCAGAUUCGAAAUCCCAAUUAGCCUCACAGACAAUAGCACAUGCAAUUUCACCAAGCAGAGUGGUACCGUCGAGCUGCUUCAUAGAGCAUCCUUGAUAAUCUGGGAUGAAGUUGCCAUGACAAAGCAUCAAGCAGUUGAGGCACUUGAUAGGUCACGACAAAGAUAUCAUGGGGUGCGAUUUUCCUUUUGGGGGGAAGGUUGUGGUGUUUGGAGAAAACUUUUAGGCAGGUCCUUCCUAUCGUGAUGCGUGGGACAAGAGCAAAAAUCAUGGAUGCAACACUACAAAGAUCUUAUCUGUAGGGAAAGUUAGGAUACGCCUGUCACGUAAUAUGAGGGCACAAACUGACCCCGGGUUCUCCAACUAUCUACUUAUAAUUGGGAAUGAAACAGAAGAGACAAUUGGUGAUGAUUGUGUGUGUCUUGCUAAUGAAAUUAUGAUAGGGUACACUUCCACAGCAAAAUCAAUGAAGAAGCUUAUCAAUGAUGUCUUCCCAUCGCUUCAUGAAAAUUUUGCAUCCGAAGCUUACAUGAGCACGCGUGCUAUUCCUUGUACCAAGAAUGAGCAUGUGGACGAGUUGAAUGGAAAGAUGAUUGACAUGUUUCUUGGCCAAGAAAAGGUAUACCAUAGCUUUGACUUUGUCAAGGAUGAUGCACACAAUAACUUCCCAAUUGACUUUCUAAACUUGGUCACCCCAAAUGGCUUGCCCUCACAUAUUCUCAAAAUCAAGGUCAAUUGUCCUGUCAUUUGCUAUGGAAUCUUGAUCCUCACAAUGGGCUAUGCAAUGGAACAAUGUUAAUGAUUAGAGCAUUUCAACAUAAUGCAAUUGACGUGGAGAUUGUUGGUGGACACCAUGCUGGAAAGAGAGUGUUCAUACCUAGGAAUCCUUUGUCACCCUCAGCCAGGGCCAACUCCAGUGUAUGGCUAGAGGGGCGACCGCCCAGGGCCCCGGCCUUGGGGGGCCAUGAUCUGGUAAGUAUGCAUGUAUGCCAUAGCAUAGUAAAAAAUAGAUAUGAAAAAUAAGAAAGGAGGAAACGAUAUGGGCUGUCCCAAUUGCUGACUGAUGGCGCUAGGAAACAGAAGCGUCGCACCCCACAUGCUUCUUCAAUCGUGAAUUCAGGAUCGUUUCGUCGCCCUCGUUGCCUGCAACUGCGCUUGCGAUUCUCCUCUGCGCUGCGUGCCGCAGUUCACUGCCUGGCCGAGGCGUCGAGCACCCGGCGGCCACUCAGGUACUCACGUCCGGCCGGCCGCGAGACCUCGCGACCAUGAGUUUGUCAUCAAGUACUCCAAGUGCAUUUAAUCCCCCGCAAGGUUGAGGCUUUAUUGGUUCCUCUUUUCACUUCAAUUUUUGGGAGAGGUUAAGUUUUCAUAUUUGUUGCUUCAAAAUUCCCCAGCCCGUGAGCAGGGGUUUUUGUCCUCUCAUUGUAGGAAUAUUGUUGAUGUUGGUUAAUAUAUAAACUUCUCGUCACAAGAAAGAUCUGUGAAGGCAUGAUUUUUAUUUUUGCUCUAUCAGAAUUGAAUUAUCUCAAAGAAUGAAGUUUACCCCCAGCAGUCCAGUAUAUCUACAUAUUCUACAUAUAUUGUUGGAGCAUGAUUGUGAGCCUCUUGCUAGCAUCAUGAUUUCCAAGGGCGAUGUACAAGCUUAAUUUUUACAAAACAGUUGAUUCUUCAUUUGAUUGGAUCCAUUAUUUGAACGGUCUUGCGCACAUGGCCAUGACAAAGAUGUGCAUUUUGCGAAUUCGUCUCAAACCAGAAAAAGCUUGCUAAAUACAUUCAGAGAACCAAAAAGGAAAUUUUAAUGGCACUUGAGUACAUUAUAAAAAAGGUUUAUUUUAUAUAAAUAAUAGCUUCCUAGGACGAAUGUAAUUUUUUCGCUUGGCUAAACGUGCAUUGCACGUGCACGCUUACUGGUUUGUAUAGUUGUAGAAUAUUUGUUUUGACAAAAUUCUAUAUCAAAUACGCACCCACCAAGCGGCAGGCGUGGUGAGCAAUCUUCAAACCACUAAAAAAUACGCACCCACAAAUUAACACAUCCUGGCACCAUGAAAACAUUUUUUUUUGUAUACUAUAAUAUAGUUGAUCUGAUGGGCCUCACAUUUAUCUUGCGAACGAUGAUUGGCCCUUAAAUGGGUGAGCACACAUACCAAGAGUGUAAGGGUAUUUGCAAUGCUGACCCUCAAAUCGGUCAGCGUAUCCGUCUGGGUACCUUUCGGGACCAGUCCGCACACUAAUAUGGGAGCCUGCCAUUCAAAGCUAGCCGCAAAUGUCCGUAGACAUAUCAAACAGAAUUUAACAAAAAUAAACAAAUUUGAUGCAAAUUUAAACAAACCAGACGAUUUUCAUUCAAACAUGGAUAGCUUUUACAUAAAAUCAGACGAUAUUUCGUCUGGUGAACUAAAACUCAAAAAAACCUGAAACUACCAUAUACUUGACGGUGACCUCAUACGUGAUGCCGCGCUGGCCGGCGACACCUCCGUCAUCAUCACCAUCGUCUGAGUCAUCAGAGUCGUGCUCGGGUGGCGGUAGGGCGCGGUGUCGCAGCAAGGCUUUCCUGCCGCAGCCUGCCACUCGGGGAUGAUCUUCUCUGCUUGCUCCUGCGUGCAGUGCGGUGCGGCCAGCUGGGCAGGGGAGAGGCGGGCGGCUGCGUCGGUGCUCUCGCGAAGAGACCACUCCUAGCCUUAUUUCGCCAUCUCAUCAUCGAGGCGGAAGAGACUUGCUCGUCUCCACCGUGGUCUUCGACCGGUCGAGGGCCCAGGACAUUGCGAGUUCCACCUCCACGAGGAUUUGUGGAAGUGGGUCGUCGUAGUCCGUGAACAUUGCCUGGCGUGUGGCACUGCACUUGUCCCGCUGCCGAUGCUCCUUGUCCAUGUUCUCCUGCAUCACCAUGGAACCCCAAGAGGACAAGCUACCACCACCGCUGCCUCUACAGCCGCCACCGAGGCAGUGCAGUAUGCGACCACGCGCCGCCACCAGUGCGGCUAGGCGGUGGCGAGAGAUCCUCCUCCUUGACAACAUGACAUCUGAUUUGGAUGUCGAGGUUGCGCGGGGAGGGAGAAGAGGCUCCGGGUUGAUAGCACGGAGAAGCGUCUCCGGUGGCAUUGCCGGACCGAUGUCAUGGACGAGCGAGUGAUGGAGCGUCAGCUCCAUAUGUUGCUGGUACUUGGUGUCCCUUGCCGCAUACAUUGCAUCCUGUGAGAGGACGUCCGGACCUAUCUACAUAUGGAUACUAGACUGUAUUGGAUCACAAAACACGUCCGAACCAUAUGGUCUACGUUGGAAAUGGCCUAAACUGGUUUCACGAAAGUCGUACAGGAGAUAUGGACAGGUAGAUACAAGAACAUGAUUUCACUAUCACACGUCAUAUUUUUGUCUUCCUAAAGAAAAUAACAAGGAAAACGUUUGGGAACGGCGAGCCGGCGGAAGUUUGGGUCGGCCGCCUCACGCACGCUUCCCGUGCGUUUCAUUUUUCGAGCGACGUGUAACAUUGUGGCCCCUGUUUCUGCCUUAGAGCAAGUAUAAUAGAGCUGAGUCAGCUGGCUAUAAAGAUUAAACUAGUAUAUUUCUGCUUACUUGAAGGAAAGAGAAGAGGAGAGAGAAGGUAAGCGGGUUUUUCGUGAAGAGCCAGCUCUAGCACAUGCUCAUAGGUACUUUGUGAGAAUGAAAGAUGAGCCACUUAAUAAAAAUGUAGUACACUCUUUUGAUCUAUUAUUAUACAUGUUGGCUAUAAGAUGGGUUGUUGACGACAUGGCACUGGCUUAUAGCCAACAACUAGCUAUAUUAUUAACCAUGCUCUUAUCUCUUCCUCGUCCACUUCCUUUCUUCACAGCGCCGCAGUCCUUUCCCCAUCUCUCUGUAGCAAGCCAAGCACCACAUCCUUCAUUUUUUCCGAUCCCGUCGACCUGCUGCUCCGGUGAGCUAACUCCUCACCUCAUUAGCUCCCUUUCCUCCCCCGAGAGUCGUUCACCUCAAGUUUCCCGCCAUGGAACUUCUUACCUGGUACUUCCAUGGCUCCAGUAGCAGCACUGUUGCUUCCAUUGAGGUGCUCCACACCAAAUCGAGGGGGAGUGGGUGGGGUGGGGGUGGGGGGAGGGGGCAACACCGGCAAGCUCCUUCGGUGGGCGCAAUGGUCAUGCGCCACCCUCCUCUCGUCCUCCUCUGGUCAUUGCGCACUCCCAGCUCCUCCACCGCACGGUCGUGUUACGACCACACACCGGCCGUGCUACAAUCGGUGACCGGUCGUGCUACAACCGACGCCCCGAUUUGCUACAAGGGGUGACAAUUAUUUUGUGGCAGCGACGACGGUCCUGAGAUUUGCUGCAACCGACACCAGUAAAGUUACCAAUGGCGGCUGAAUUUGCUACAACCACGCGAUGACAACCAUGCCAGUCGGCAACAGUGCCACGUUUUUUCUGCAACAGGCAACCGGGAAAGCUACCACCGGCGCCCGGAUUUGCUACAUCCAUCCCCGGCGACGCGACGUGCUAGAAACCAGCGCCCAAUGUUGCUGGAACCGGAGCGUGCCCUCACCAGUGACUUUUUUUUUGCUGGAACCAGCGCAAUUUUUUACUGGAACUAGCUAGUUCGUUUGCUAAAAUUGAACUUUUUGGAGUUUGCUAUUGUGACUUUUUUUGGAACCAUUGUUAAUUUUGGCUGGAACUGGCUGUUGUUUUUGCUUCAAUAGACCAUCAUUUUUUUUUCGCUGCAACCGGGUAGCGACGGAGCACCGUGAGCUCACCGGUGGUGGCUGGUUGCAUGCGCGUCCAUGGAUGGAGUCGGCGACGCUAGCUGCCUUGUCCUCUCCCCACACGGGGGCACGUUGAUCUGAUUUUUUGGGGAAAAGUCAAAGGUAGGAAAGCCGGAUCCGACGGUUGGAAAUUUCCAUAUCAGACGCACGGGGCGCGACCGGCCGAAAUUUGCACCGGCGCCUAGGACUCGCCAAAGAACAAGCCCUAAUUUGGUGACACACGUGAUGUCAUAUCAACAUAAUAAGCCACAUAAGAGUAAGGAUUUGGAUGUGCAAUGACGACAGGAUUUGCUAAAAGUAUUACACCCUUUAUCAAAAAAAAUAGUACGUGCACAACCAGAUUGUAGAAGGACAAGUAUGGGCUGUGCAAUCGCAAUGCAUUGAUCGGUGCACCAGGCACGUAUAUAUGAGUACAGAGGGGGGCCAUAACCUCGACUAUACAGAGAAACUAGGAGCUGGGCCCAAUACACAAUAUAUAUGUACACAAUAUACUCAACACAGAUCAUUCAUACAAGGAAAUAAAUACUGGAUAACUAAUUACAAUUCGGAAAUACGCAAAUACAGACAUAGGAGAUAUAAAUCCGACAUUCCUAACCCGCAGACGUAAUUUGCCACCAAAAUUCGGAAAGUUUUCUUAAGGGAAAAGAAUCAUCUUACUUGAUUUAAUGAGGGUUCAUAAUAUGGGAACCUCUACUGAAUAAUUCCAAUUGUAUUGCUUGAUGUUUACUGCAUGGGAUCAGGGUUACCGAUCCUCUCUCGUCUCAAUCUCUAUAUAUAUACACGAUCCAUCCAGUGUGUUGAUUGGUAGCAAAAUAUUUCUCAUCGACAACCAAGUGAUCGAGUGCCUGCCUAGCAGCCCUAGUGUUGCACCGGCCGGCAGGGUAUGGACAAGUACAUGAUUCGCAUCCUUGCACUAGCAGCCCUAGUGUAUCUACACCUCGUAUGCUCCGCUACCGUUGCUCAAUGUAAGGCCAUUAAGAUCUCUUUUGCUUCUUGUCUACUAAUUCGCUGUGUCGUUUGUUUAUAGCACUCUAAAAUAAUUGCAUAACGACGAUGUAAGUGCAGCGACAGUGGCUGACACGGACGGCAAGAAGAUCAAUAUACCAAACGGGUUGUGCGUUGAGAUGGGUCCUGACGACUGCAGCGACAGUGGGAACUGCUUCCGUUGUUUGGUGAAGAAGGCCUACUACGACACUAUGCGUGAGUGCAAGACAGAGUGUAAAAAAGCAUACUGAGUGCAAGACAUGCUGGUGGCCAUGACGACGUCUCCUCCUCCUCCUCCUCCUUUACCCGCUCCUUAAUUUUACAACCUGAUGUGCCGAUGGAAAUACAGCUGCUCAAUAAAAUCGAGUAAUACUCCAGCUUGCAGUUGUUGCUGAGUACUCCUCUGUAAAGAAAUAGUAUAAGAGUGAUCACGCUCUUAUAUUUCUUUUCGCAAAUUGCAAUUGCACUUUUACUAGCUAGAAAUUGUUGGCGGCUAAGUUGUAGUAAUACACCCUAGGUAUGUAAUGUGACUAUGUGAGGUCUAAACCAGAAGCACUUUUCUUGGAUACAUGUGCAGAGAAUACUGCAGAAAAGAGGCGAUGAGUGGGUCACUUGAAAACUGGGUUUGAUGAGAACAUGUCUGGAUGAUGAUUAUAAUUAGAAGGGUUGGGUUGGGACUGUAAAAGGUAAAUUAACAAGUUUCUUCAGUCUCUCUCUAUGCUUGGCAAGUUUCUUCACCCCCAACCUUUGCCCAGCACCCCAGCAGGGACGAGCUUAAAUACACAAGCCUCUCCCUAUAAUCACCAACCAUGACAAGUGGGAGACUACAUGAUCAAGGCUUUUGUGGGACCCAGGGCCCUAGCGAGCUCUUUAUUAUUACAAAACAUGUACAUAUUACAAUCCAUAAGUACUAGAAGAGAACAAGAAUAAUGAUUAACACAAGUAGACCCCCCACCCCCGCGUCGCCAACCAUAGGCGACACGGGCGACGAUCGCGCCGCCGGCCCUAGGCCUCCUCCCCUCGUCUCCUUCAUCCUGUCGCCGCCUGAGGUCUCAUCGGCGAAGCCUGGCCUAUGAUGGCGGCGGCGGGGCCUUAUCCCUCGCGCGGUCGUGGCGAUAUCUCCGGGCGGCGGCGGCGCAUGGUACAACGGAGAUCCGGCAGCAAGGAGCGGCGGGAUCCCUUCGGCGUGUGUGACGGCGGCGUCAGCGGAGGCGCGACCUACCCACGGCGGAGGCGCCCCUGUGGCGGCGGCCGGGAUCGCGGGUCUUGUCUUGCCCAGAUUGGGCGGGCCGACGGUUUCGGUGUGCAUCUAUAGGCAAGCGUGGUGGGCAGUAGGAACCGUGGUGGUGCCAUGGCCGGUCAGGCGGCGGCAGCCUCGAUCCCUUUUGUCUAGUCCCCGGCAGAGAUGGCGGCAGUCCGUGCGCGAGAUGCUUGAGGGAGGCUCUUCGAACAGAUCUGGGUGAAAACCUGAUGUCGGCUAGCUGCCAAGGCCGACGGUGGCGGCGCUGCCUCCGUCGUUCCCUUCUUGAAGGCAUCACCGUUGAGAAGUUCAAGGCCACUCUACGCUACCUCCGGGGGAAACCCUAGAUCAGUAGAUCAGAUGACGGCGGCGCUAUGGUGUCGUUUCCCUCUUGAGGGCGUCAUUCGCGGAGGUGUACACGGGCUGAGGGACCAGUGCAAGGCUUCUUUGGUGGAGCAGUGCUUCAGCUUACACAUUGAUGGCGGCGGUGAAGGAAAUAUGCCCUAGAGGCAAUAAUAAAGUUGUUAUUUUAUAUUUCCUUAUUCAUGAUAAAUGUUUAUUAUUCAUGCUAGAAUUGUAUUGGUCAAAAACCUAAAUACAUGUGUGAAUACAUAGACAAAUACUGUAUCCCUAGUGAGCCUCUACUUGACUAGCUCGUUGAUCAAAGAUGGCUAAGGUUUUCUAACCAUGGACAUGAGUUGUCAUUUGAUAACGGGAUCACAUGGACAAGACCCAUCAGUUAGCUUAGCAUUAUGAUUGUUCAGUUUUAUUGCUAUUGCUUUCUUCAUGUCAAAUACAUAUUCCUUCGACUAUGUUUAGCAAGUUUCUUCAAUCUCUCUCUAUGCUUGGCAAGUUUCUUCACCCCAAAAAUAACAAAUUUGGCGUCAACACGGUAUAAUCGACGUCGCUCAUAUACAUGGACAUACACUAUCCUUAUAAAUGCACGCACACGCCUUAUCCGUGAGCAUCUUCGAGAGACGGGCGUGGUGAGCAAUCUUCAAAAAUCAUUAAAAAAAUGCGCACCCACAAAUUAACACAUGCUGGCACCAUGAAAACAAUUUUUGUGUGUGUAUAAUUUAUUCGAUCUGAUGGGCCUCACGUUUCUCUUUGACCGUUAAUUAAAUGGGCGGGGCCGCAUGACAACAGUGUAACUGGGUUCACAAAAGUCGUACAGGAGAUAUGGACAGGUAGAUACAACGACAUGAUUUCACUGUCAUGCUUUAUAUUUUCGUCUUCAUAAAGAAAAAAACGAGCCCCCCAAUUUGUUGGGACACCUCAGACACGUGAUGUCAUCUCGGAGUACACCAUUUUUCUAAAAACAAAUGUAACGUGCACAACCAGAUCAUGUAUACAAGUCAAUAAAUAUUGGAUACUUAAUUACAAUUCGGGAAUAUGCAAAUAUAGACAUAGUAGGAGAUAUAAAUCCGACAUUCCUAACCCGCAUACGUAGUUUUUCACCAAGAUUCCGAAACUUGUCUUACAAAGGGAAAAAGAUCAUCUUACUUGAUUUAUGCUUUUAAUGAGGGUUCAUAAUAUGGGAAGACACUGAAUAAUUCCAACUUUAUUGCUUGAUGUUUACUCUUGUCUCAAUCUUCUCCCUAUAUAUACACGAUCCAGUCCCUUCGGGGACAUCCGAUAUACACGAUCCAGUCAUAUGUUGAUUGGUAGCAAAAUAUUUCUCCUCCACAACCAAGUGAUCGAGUGCCUGCCCAUUGCACUAGCAAACGUACAGGAGGUAUGGACAAGCACACGAUUCGCAUCCUUGCACUAGCAGCCCUAGUGUCUCUACACCUCGUGUGCUCCCCUACUGUUGCUCAAUGUAAGACCAUUAAAAUCUCUUUUGCUUCUUGUCUAAUCCGCUGCGUCGUUUAUUUCUACCACUCUAAAAUAAUUGCAUAACGACGAUUGUUCGUUUGUUACUGCUCCAUGAUAUACAGGCCGAAUCAUGACCGGCGCGGACAGCGAGAAGAUCAAGCUGCCAAAUGGGCUUUGCAUUAAAGUAGGGCACGAGGACUGCAAAAUUAGUGGGCUUUGCUUCCGCUGUUUGGUAAUAGAGGACGGCUUCUACGACACUAUGCGUGUGUGCAAGAGAGAGUGUAAAAAAAACUCGUCUUCGCAAGAUACGCUGGUGGCGCCAUGACGAUGUCCCCUCCUUUACCUGCUCCUUGAUUUAACGGCCUAGCUAGUCAACAAAUUGGCUUAUGUACUUACAAGAUUGUCCCAAGAAAUAAUGCCUGACGUGCCUGUUGUUGCCGAGUGUUUUGGUUUGGCAAAUUGCGCUUGAACUUUUACUACCAUUUGAAAGCA